RNAcentral lists this long non-coding RNA (1060 nucleotides) under Homo sapiens (human). RNAcentral describes it as "HSALNT0291174". The record is from RNAcentral. Lineage: Eukaryota; Metazoa; Chordata; Mammalia; Primates; Hominidae.
UCCAAGGUCGGAUAUUAUUUUAUUUUUUCUUCUGGAAUCUUUAUUGUUUUGUUUUUACGUUUAGGGAUAUGAUUAUGAUGUAUCUCAUUACUUCUUGUUAUAGUGUGAAGUAGAAAUCAAAGUCCAUGUUUUUCCAUAUCGACCCAGCGCUACUUACGGAAAAGACAAUCCCUUCCCUCCCACAGGAGAACUGUCAUCAAUCAGGUAGUUGUAUAUGUAUUACUGUGUCUGGGCUCUCUGUUCUGGUUAUUGGAGGAUUUUAAAUGAGCCUCAGAUUUUCCUUCAGAAAUGCUCACUCUGGAUGCAUUGUGGACGAUGGAUUGGUGGCGGAGUGGAUCCAGGGGAAUGUGUAGAAGAAUAUUGGCAAACCAAGAGGAGAUGAUGGUGGCCUGGAUGAGGGUAGUGGUCGUGGAGGAAGAGGAUGGAGGUGAAAUCAACAGGGCUUGGUGAUGGAUUGGAAAUGAGUGGAGGAUGCUUUGAACUAUAGCCAACAGAAAGCCCUAUUCAAACUGGUUUAAAAAAAUAAAGACUUCACCAAAGGCUGAAGAAACAGACUUUGAGUUGAAGUUUCAGGAAUAACUCCCGGGACUAGGUCAUCAAGAAAACUGCUGUAAUCAGAAAGCCACCGGCUCCAGAAUGCAUCACAGCUACCACCAGGGAGCCGCCAUUAUCAGGAGGCUGCUACUAAUGUGCCACACCAUCACACCACGCCUGCCACAGUCCUUGGCAGCAGAAUAAAUGCGUGUUCAUGUCUUAUUCUUGAUGUCCACUAAGCUAGGAAAACCACAUCUUUACCAACUGUACGACAGAAAAACCAGAUGUCUUCACAACUGUGUUGUUAGCAGAAAUGGCAAAAACAACAGGAAGAUGGCCUUCACCUUCCUUCCAUUUUCUACAUCUUGUGUGACUGAAUCUGAUUGGCUGAGUCUUAAUUGUCAGAGUCCUGGCUGCCAGGGACCCUGGCAUAGCAUGCUAGAAGGAGGUGCUGACCCAAUGUAUCCAUCACAUCACAUCAAACCACACAAAACAGAGUCUCGCUGUGUCACCAGGCUGGAGUGCA